RNAcentral lists this non-coding RNA (62 nucleotides) under Brugia malayi. Lineage: Eukaryota; Metazoa; Nematoda; Chromadorea; Rhabditida; Onchocercidae. The record is from RNAcentral.
AAUAUAGCAUUACGCAUUACAGUAUAGUGAGUGACAUACUGUAGUGCGUAGCGUACGGCAUA